RNAcentral lists this long non-coding RNA (338 nucleotides) under Ictidomys tridecemlineatus (thirteen-lined ground squirrel). RNAcentral's name for it is "lncRNA (ENSSTOG00000031511.1)". Lineage: Eukaryota; Metazoa; Chordata; Mammalia; Rodentia; Sciuridae. The record is from RNAcentral.
UAUAUCAGGAAUGACAACCCCCUCUCUCAGCAAAAGUUUUUCCCACCAGUUCCCUCUGCUCAGCUGCUUUUCCCUGGUUUGAUAGCUCUCACUGGAGCAAGUCUGGACCCGACAGAGUGGGGUGUGAUCUCCCAAGCCAGCAAUUCUCCCCAGGAUUGGGCCUCCAGUUAAGAUGGAAAGCAGAGACGAGCCCUAGAUGGAGCCCCAUCCAUCUGAACCUUGGUGAGUGAAAUGGUAGUGAUUUUGUUAUUGUUUUACAGGGUGACUGAUAUCAAUUUUAUUCUGUUCUGCAGUAUUUUUUUUUCAAAACUCAUUUCAUUUCUCUAAUUUUAGAAAAA